RNAcentral lists this long non-coding RNA (1070 nucleotides) under Homo sapiens (human). RNAcentral's name for it is "HSALNT0307365". Lineage: Eukaryota; Metazoa; Chordata; Mammalia; Primates; Hominidae. The record is from RNAcentral.
UUAAUUCUUAGGGCAGAGAAAAAGGCACAAUCAUAUUAACUUGUAGCAGACGAGAAGGAAUUGGGUAGAUUAGUGAAAUCCUUUAUUCCUGCUGAUUUUUUUUUCUUUUUAAGACGAGGUCUUGCUCUUUUAUUCAGGCUGGAGUGCAGUGGUGUGAGCACAGCUCACUGCAGCCUCAAACUCCUGGGCUCAAGUGCUGCUCCUGCCUCAGCCUCCUGCAAAGCUGGAACUACAGGGAGAAGAUGACUUUAGUCCCCCAGUGUCAAGGAUAACCAGCCGUUCAUAAGAUGAGAGUUGGAGCAACUGCUCUAAGGAAUCUGAAGACAAACAGGCUGGCGGAAAGGAAGUCACCUCCAGUGCUCUAAGUCAGAGCCUCUCUGAUUCGCCUGUCUCCAUUAUUGCACAGCACAUGAUGAGUCUGACUUUGAGAGAUAAGUUGGCCAAAGUGGAGGAAUGCCACAUGCCUAGGCCACUUUCUCUGCCUAACUUUCGAUCACUUACCAUGAACAAGCUGAAGAAACUUACUCCUCAAACUGGCCUUUGCUCAAGUUCAUAAAGCACUUCAAAGAAAGAAAAUGACUCCUGUAUAUGAAUGUUGUUGCAAUUAAUAACUGCCCAUUUUUUAUUUCUAAGCUAUCUUUAAUUUGGUGGUUGAGGCCUAUGAAUAUGCCCAAGAGAUCAUGAACAAGACACAAUUUCUGCCUUCAAGAACCUUAAAAUUGAAAAAUCACGACGAAAAAAAACAAAGCCCUCUGAUCUGGUUUGGAUUUGUGUCCCCACCCAAAUCUCAUGUCAAAUUGUGAUCCCCAGUGUUGGAGGAGGGUCCUGGUGGGAGUUGAUUAGAUCAUGAGGCGACAUCCCCCCUGCUGUUCUUGUGAUAAUGAGUAAGUUCUCACAAGAUCUGGUUGUUUAGAAAUGCGUAACAGCUCCCUUUUUGCCCUCUCCCUCCUGCUCUGGCCUGCUUUCCCUUCGCCUUUCGCCAUGAUUGUAAGUUUUCUGCAGCCUCCCCAGUCAUAUUCCCUGUACAGCCUGUGGAGCUGUGAGUCAAUUAAACCUCUUUUCUUUGUAAA